AUGACCAUGUUGGAAGGAAGACAGAUACAAUCCAGCAUCGUUUUAUUGAUUUUUUUUUUUCCUUUUGGAAUUUAGAAGAAGUUGUUUAAGCCCUGGGUAGUGAGGUUGAGGUUUCUGUGUUUCUAAGUCAGCUUAUACCAUCGAAGGCUCCUUUUCAGUUUCAGAGGGACUUUUCCUUUGUGGACGAAGUUGGUGUUAGGUUCUCUCCACCGACAUAAGAAUGUAGCCAUCAAAUGUCCAUGGGUGUGAGUGUGUGUAGUGAGGACAAGCAAACCUCACGUCACCCUUGAUGUCAGCUCAGUGGCUAUGCGUGUAAGGAUGACCAUUCCUCUUUAGUGCUCUGGCUUAGCUUGUUUGUUUGUUUAUUUAUUUAUUUAUUUAUAUCCUGUGACUCUCAUAUUCAUCAUGAAAACAUACUCUGCAUGUUUGCUUCCUCCUGAUUAGAACAGGCAAGUUUUUUGUCAGCUCAUGGAUCUGGCUGGGAUCCAGGGUAGCUUCGCUGUUCUUUGUACCCUGCUUCAAGCCACAACUUCACACUGAUUGUAGCAGAUAUUUCUCAACUUUGAGAAUGAAGCUCACGGUUACCUCAGACUUCUCGGAGUUUGGCCUAGUCUACAUGCAUAACUCGUUUAAUUGGGCUCAUAACUAGAUUAAUUAGCUUGAGUUCUACCUGGCUGAGAUUGCGUGCUUCUCUGGGAACAGCUCUCUUUUGCAUCUUCUCAACACCUAAGCAUUCAGUAAAUUCCUGUCAGCUGAAUGACGGAAUGACUGCUGGCUGAAAACCAGGGAGUUAUGUAAAAAAGUGCCAAUAUGAUUGUGCUUAGACUCAAUCCAUUAACAGCUCAGCUGUUUGGGGAGAGAGCAGGACUCUGGCCAAAAGUUUAGAAUUUGAGAGAAACCUUUUAGAAUCUCAUCAGGAUCCAGGCUGUGUUCUUUGAUCAGUUAAGGGAGAAAAAAAAAAUAGCAAUUGUCAGGCAUAACCUGAGAAUUUGUGGAAAUCCUCCACCGAGAUGCCUGAACCCCAGCACUCCAGCAAAAGGGCUUCUCCCUCCUGUGGAUGAGAGACAAUGCGCUUCCGAUGCAGCCGGUGAUAUAAUUAAACUUUUGAACCACAUGUCUGACUUUCGGGCAAGAAAGUGGCUAAAGCCCUGUGUCUAACGUGAUUGAAGGGUGGAAUCCAAAGCGAGGCUCUUCCAACUAAUCUCUCCUUUCAAAAUUCUCUAGAAGCUGGCCUUCUAGGGGUCCAAAGUUUACAAUAAAACCCUUUUAUACUUAAAAUGUCAUCAAAAUACUAAGGCUAGCUCUUCCUGAAACACGAAGGGGGUAAGCCCGUCCAUUCUUUCCUCUUGACAUUUGGUCUAAUUCUAUCUCAGAUAAGUGGGUCUUGGAUGUAAUCCAGCUAGAAUGGGGGAUCCUUAAGUUUCUCUGUUUCCACGCGCUUUCUAUACCAGGAAGGGAAGGGUAUAUCCUCCUCCUUCUGCUUCGGCUUCCAUCAGGAAUACCCGAUAUUUAGAUUUCUUAGGAACUAUGAAAUGUUCCUAGGCACAACAUCCCCGCUGGGAUACGGUCUUCAUUUGGGAAUGGUAAAAUUCCCAUUUUCCCAGGCUACUUUCUCAAGCAAGGCUUGGGUUUUGUGUUUACAAUAGACUUGUUUCAGAGCGCCCAGGUGGUGGUGGGGGUGCCUUGGCUAGCUCCCUGGGGGAAAUUCUCAUCUGCAUUUAUGUUAGUCAUUUUGCAGGUGAAACGUAUUCUGAUUUACAUAUCACAAUCAGAUCUUGCUGCCAGCCAAGGGUGAAAGUCUGGUGCUAUUGGCUGCUAGAUCUUUUCAAAUGAAGAAUGAAAAAAAAAAUGCAGAUAUUAACUCUUUAGACAAAAGUCUCCGGGCCUCAGAUAGGUAGGCAGAAUGUAGGUUGGACAGGAUUUUAUCCUACCUUCCUAACAACAGCAACUGUUUUCCUGGGGUUUGGAAGGAGGAGGCUCAGGGUAUUUGGGGGAGUUCUCUGGCUAUGUUCUCUCAUCACCCUGGCGGAAAGAAUUUGGAAGUUAAAAAUUGUUAGUCUUUUUAAACAGCCAUUUUAUUUCCCCCUCACGAGCCUGUUCCAGAUAUGCUAGGUAGACAACAUUAAACUGGUUGAGUUGUGCCACCCAGCCUUUGUUCUUAUUGGUCAGUUUAUGGAAAAGCACUCGAAUUACUCUUUCUCUAAGACAAUGAAAAGAAAUGUCAACGUGGCUCCUGAUGAUGGAAUUUUUAGAUGUAAUUGUUUUCUAUUUAGCAUGUUUCAGAAUUGAUUUUUACGAAUAGGGCUGCAGAUUAACCUUUCUGUAACAGACUGGAAAAAUGAUCACUUGAAAACAGGGUGCCCCCUAAUAGCGUUCUUUGUGGCAAUCAGGGAUAAUCUGCUUGUGGGCAGUCAUGUUAUUAGCUCAUUUCCUUAAGCUGUUUCUGAAACUCGUUAUCUGAUUGCCAUGAUGGUCCCAGCUAUUGGGUUGGAGUACAGUCCCUUCACAUGUAACUUUUUGUUUUUGUUUUUGUUUUUGUGUUUUUGCUUAAAGUAAUUAUGAUAAUGGUAAUGGAAGAGAUAUUUCUGUGAGUACACAGUAGUGAGACUACAAGACAAGAAAAUAGCCAUUUGGAAGAACUCAGUUUUGAACUCUGCCAAUGUGUUUAGAGAACUGUGUGCUUUGCCUAGAUGAGAUCUGGGCUGUCACCAUUAAUGGCAUCCUUGGGUGAGUGUUUUAUACGACCAUUAAAUUACUGUUUGUCCAGCAUUUCCUCCUUUAGGAAAUGAAGUGGUGUGCAGAAAAUAAAUUAAAUAAAUCCUCUCCCCUCCUUUUUAUGGCCUUUGUGGUUUCCACAAAAACUUUUAUUUCUGGGGACCUCAAAGUAUAUUUGCUGUUGGCAAAUGUUAAUGUUCUCUUACCUAAGUGAUUUUAGAAGCUAAUGGAAACCCGUUCUGUUAAACAGAUAGAAGGACCUGUAAUCUCUUCCCUCUUAGUAUCUGCAGUAGUUUCUAAAGUUUUCAUUUCCUGGGAGGAUGGAUGCAGACUUCUUGGAAAGAGGGACCUUAUUCUGCCCGAUUUGUUUUUACUGUGCAUGGUGUUUCUGCAGUAGUUUAUUUUGUAGCUUUCAGGAUUAUCAGCUGUCCAGACUAUCUUGUCAGCAAAGAAAAAAAUAGAAGAAAUUCCAGACAAAGCCUCCCCAUUUUCCAUUUUCAUCUGUGAAGAGUUUGGUAGACAUAUUAAGAAGUAACAAAGAAUAUCUAAGCAGCCCUGUACUAAUUGGUGCUGCAACAAUGUUUUUAAUGGGUUCCCGUGGUUCUUAGAGAGGAGGUCCUUCAUGCGGAUACCCUGUAUCCCCGUGGCCACAGAGGAAUCCAAGCAUCAGGGAGGGUAUCCACUUAACCUGCUUGGGUCAGUCUGUUUAUCAAUAUGCUAUUUCCCUAAUUAUUCAAAGAUUCCGUCCUGUGUGAUAUGGGAAGAAUGUUUUAUUUUUUCCUUCAUGUUAAGAACUGGUUUUCAUCUCUCAGAUCUCUUUGAUUAUCCACCUGUUAUGUUUCUUCCUUCAGAAGAAAACUAAAGAAAAGUUCAAUUAUAUUAUUUUGCAUUACACUGGAAGAUCGAGUGUAAAGGGGGACAUUGUGUGAUGUCAGGAAAUGGUUCUUCAUGUUAGCGGAGUAAUUGCCCUCUGCUGUGGCUUUGUACCCCGGGAUACAGGGUGCCCUUCAACGCCCUCAGUGAUGAUGGGCAUAAAACAAAUUGCGAGCGGUGUGUGUAGUGAAUGUAGUGUGACUGCAUUUUUUAAUGUGUAAGUAGGCUUAGGUUUUUAUCCUCCUUAUCUUAAGCCCCCGUCAAGAUCAAACUCACUCGAGCAUUCACAUCCACAAUUGAAUCUCACCAGCUUUUUUUCUUUAAGUUAACAUCAGUUCAAACUCUCCCUACUGCUUCUGUCAAUAGAUCUUUUAAAGGCAGGCAUUAGAGUUAAGUUUGCCUUUAGUGUUUUCCCCCCACACUGCAUAACGUUGAGCCCAAGGGCUUCUUUUAAUAGGCAUUAGUUAAGGCCUAGAAUUGGGUAGACAUUUGUGAAGGAGACUUGAAGUUUGGAACAGAAUUGGUCUUUAUAGCUUUUCCAUGGGGGGAAAUCUUCUUAGGAGAAUAAAGGCUGCCUGCUAAUCUGCUACCAUCUGGAGAAUGAAGAAGCCAGAGGUUGUUGGCACCAGGUCACAUCCCUUAUGUAAACUGUCAAAUUCUUUUCAUAUUAAUGGCAUAUUGAGUUUAAUCUGAGGGGUAUCAGACAGAGCUUAUUUAUUGAUACUCUCUCUCUCUCUCUCUCUCUCUCUCUCUCUCUCUCCUCUUGCUGACAUAGUUUCUAAGUAUUGUUACAAUAUGAGAGUAUUGUAACACAGUGUAGCUUAAAAAAAAAAAAACCAGAACAAGGUUGGCUUCCUGAGAGAUGGCGGACUUCCCUUGUGCUAGCACAUGGCUUACUGUUGUGAUGUUUGCAGAGGUGAAUAACCUUCUCCACGGCUUGUCCAGCUGAUAGCCACUGUACUUACCCCACAUUUGAAAUAAAGAGAGGCUGAUUCUGGCUUUCCUAGAGAAUGCAUGUGUGAACAUGGAUGUGCAGUUUGGAGCCUUUGGACACGUGGAGCAACUGAAGUCAUCCCAAGUCUUAUGGGGGUCAUCUACUGUCUAAGUGGUAACCAGUAAAAGUUCUUUGCAUUUGAACAUAAUUAUGAGAACCUCUGGCUUCCUGUAGACACAGGGUCAGGUAAACUACAGGUGUCUUGAUAACUCUAUUCAGAGAAGAAUUAUUCCCCAAACGGGUACAGAUUGAUCGGGUUCAUUGUAAAAUUGCUCAGUUCCCCCCUCUUAUAAAUAAAAAUCAGCCCACAUUGUCAUUCUCACAGCUUUUGGUAGGUAAACAUUUCCCUCAUCAAGCUAUUCCUGGGGAUGCCUGCCUACAGGACCAGCUAAGGCAAGAGGUGAAUAAAAUACACUCUUGAAUUAAAUAUUGUCCCACAUCGGACAUGGGGACAAAAACACACCUGACGGUCAGCAAGCGUUCUUCGAACUAGCACAUACAAGGAUAACUAUAAACUGUUUCAUUUGGGUAGUCUUCCACUUGCAGAAGAAACACAAAGAACUGAAAACUAAAAAUUUCAGCAAACUGGAUCCAAUAAAGAGCAAACAACCCGUUUCGAUGUAUGGCAGUGUCUUUAAAAUUCAGAAAUAAGGGAUCCCCCCCCCACCCCCCCCACCCCCGGUCCUGUAUUCCAUGGGCGUUUCUUCUUACCCCUUGGUUUCGUAUGUAAACUAGAAAAUGAAAACCAGACCCAGUGACCCAAAGGGGAUGAAGCAUGUUUGUUUUGUCUAUUAUAUUUCUCUGCUCACGCCUAGAUGCCUUGCAUCCCUGUCCCCCGUGUUUGAAGUCGAGAGCUGGGAACAGACAUGAGAUUGAGGUCCCAGGGGGAAGCCAAGUUCAGCCUGAGCUGGUGAACUCUCGGAGACUAAGGGCAUAUAACUCCGAGCUAAAGACGCUCAAGUAUGACGUUUCUGUCAGGAGUGCAGAGACCCGUGUGCCUCCACAAACAGGUUUUCUUUGUGGUAGUCUGAACCAGCUGAGCGCCGUGGCAAUUUUCCUUGAGUAACUAGUUCCAAUGGACGACAGCGAGUUUAAACACGAGCCCCAGAUUACAAAGUGUUUUCUGCCCAAAGUGUUUUGCUGGAAUUUUUUUUGGGGGGGGGGAGACGACGGGGGGGGGUAGUGUGCCAAUAUUGUGAAACAUUAGCAGGGUUUUGUAAGAGGCCAAACAUAGGACAAAAUAGGUGAGAGGGGAAAGCGGAGACACUGGAAGAGCAGCUCAUGAAAAAAUGUCUGUGCACCUAGUAGCUCGCAAAGAAAUAGGGGGUAAGUGGGGGAUGGCGUGGGAACACAAGGCUGAUUUUAGGUCACUCGCUGGCAAGGUGUUCUGUCUACUGUUCGAAUGGGUUUUAAUCCUAGGCUGCUGUGUCAUGUGCUUGGGACCUUAAGUAAUUACUAUUAAGAAUGUCACAAUAAACCGGAGCCAUUAGAAGGAUAGUGGAGAUUUAGUCCCAUAGUCAAGCGCUAUAAACAUGUGAGUGUAAUUUAGGAAUCCUUUCUGCGGCUGGGCCCCAUAAAAUGGCCUCUUUCCUCCCUGGCUUUCCAACGUCUCACCUGCAAAGCAGUAAUCAGCGUAGUCAUUCUUUCCAGCCGCCUUGUAAUUUAUCUGACUGCAGAGAACCGUGACGGAGGUAGAUUGUGGUUGGGGCGGUGACCCGCACCUUUUGCUCUUUUUGUGUGCUUUGCGAGGGACUCGCCCAUCUAACCCUGCCGGAUUCUCUGUGCUGUGCAAGCAAUUCUGCCUUCUCUGGAGAGAGACCAAGAGGCGGAGUUCAGAGUGGCGGCCAGCAGGGGGCGCCCUUGCCAGAUAAGAACAGUUUUUUUUUUUUUUUUCUUCCCCCAAUACCAACAUAGCACAAACAUCACACAGUCGCUAUCCUGUCCUUUUAAAUUAAUUUGGCUCAAGAUUGGCCCCCAGAAACAUUUUGCUUUGUGUUCCCAGCUCCCGGGCCACACCUGUCUGACAAGUUCUUCCACAUCACUGUUUCCAGCUUCCAUCACCUUAGCUGCCAAAUGGUCACCUUUUACUUAGAAACUGGAGAGUGGUUUUUUUUCUCUCUUUCUAUAUCACAGGUCAAGCUGAAGGGCACAGUCACCUGCAGGGAAUGGGACCAAGUAUGUUCACUGAGCAUUUUGCUGUUUUACAUGAGCUCACCAAGAAAGAAUGUCUCUACGAGGGAAGGAAAAACCUGUUUCCUUAGAGUGGCCCACAGCUUGUUUUCUCUUGUCAGGGUGAUAGCUCUUUGGUUCCUGCCAGUGGGUAUACACUGGGAAAGGUGGGAAAAGAUCCUGAAAAUUCCAGGGGUGGGCGAUUCUUCUAGCUGGGAGGACAGUGUCUGAUUCCUAAGGGUGACUCAGUACAGUAAUUCUGACAGUCUAAACAGCACGCACACACACAAAUACAUGAGUGUGAAUGUGUGGUAGAUGACAGUCUAUCAGGGUGGUGACUAGAGGAAGCAUUUUGUUUCUUAAAAGCUUGGCUUCCAUGAACUUGGUGCUGGACCUUUAUUGGAUAAAGUCCUCCCACCCAGCCAGACAGCCAGACGUCUGCACAGGAAGAGUUCCCAGUGCACACCAGGGCCUGUUACCACAAUCUAAUGCUUUAUCGGGAGAGCCUUUUCUCGACUGCCCGAGCCACUAGGAUCCUGUGCCCUCUGCUCUGCUGGAGGACGAGCUGCCCUGACACUAGAACGACUGCCACUCUGGCUGAGGUGAGGUGGAGGGCAGAACCUGCAGCAGGGGAUGCUGUACUCUGCUUCAGGCUCUGAGCCCUCCUCUGCUCCCCAUCCUCUGAGGCUGGCUCCAGUUUUCAGCUAGUCCUCAGGCAGCCGUGAUUCGCAAAUCACUGCUUCCUGUUACACAUUCUAAAAGGGAAAGAACACAAGGACCUUGAGAGCAGGUACUUAGCGCCGAGGCAGCAAGGUGAACUCAUUGAGUCUCGGGUAGCUUUCAGGAGUCUGUGCGCAGUGAGUUUGUUCAGAUGUUUAGUAGUUGGCAGUUAUUUGAGGACAUGACGUUUUCUUGCUUUUCAGCCCCUUGCAAGUCUUUAACCAUUUCAGCUAUCUAAAGAGAGAGUCACAACUCCUUUAUCUGUUGGUUCUAGUUUGCUCAUGUAAAUGGCCUGGUUAAGGUAGUCACACAUGUGCAAAAUAAGGCCUCAGAAUUAGUUUACUAAAAAAAAAAAAAAAAAAGAAUGGCAUUUAUUUUCUGUCCCGGCACCCUGCUACUAACAGAGUCAUUUAAUGCCUGCUUCUCAAGCUCUUCUUCAUUUUAGAAGUCAUCUUUAGAUGAUGUCUUUCCCUAAGCCUCAUUGUUCAUGAGUUAUAUUGUGAAUCCAUUUGGACACUGACCAGGAACUUGGUAUAAUUGCUCACACACAAGUAAAAGCUUUCUCUGUGUAUUAAUUAGUUGAUAUAAGGGAUUAAGAUGGUUACAGGAAAGGCCUUGCUGCUUCCCCGGGAAUAGUUAGGCCAGGUGGGUGCCAAGGCUUUGUCCGAUCCCAUUUGCUCAGCAGGUUCCCUUGAUGAAGGCACAGAACAUGUACAGCAGCGGGACUCCAUGAGGCAGGAAAACACAGGGUCUUUUGGAUUCACUGUUUCUGUUGAUAUGAAAUGUGGAGUAUUAAUCAAGACUAAUUACAAGCACUGAGUUUAGAACAAACUGGAGGGCAGCUCAGGGCAUGGUUAUAUCUGUAAUCAUGGGCUGUAAGGUACCAGGAUAAUUACUAGAAAUUAGAGGUCCUUCAGUUUUGGGUCUUCUCAAAAAUACAGGAAGAGUUUCUCUCCCCUACCAGGAGCUGGGCCUCUGCUCUGAACUUGUGUUAAACAGAUACAACAUCUUUGAAAUAUGCCUUACACACACUGUGUCAAAAUUUAGAAGUUAUAGAAAGAAUCCAGAUAGUUCUAGCCUAUCCUUCUCCUCUUUUGAACUUGAAAUAAAAGUUGGAAUAUAUUUGGUUGGGGUAGAAUUUAAUAGUUCAGUGCCCUUUACUCAAAGACUGUUUCGUGGAAUAUUAUAUUUUUUUAAAAAGAAAAUAUCUACAGUCUUUUAUAUGAAUAAGUUUACCAUCACGUCUUUUAUUUGAAAAACAGUAGUGUGUAAUUGUUUCACAGUGUGGGUUUCAGACUGUAGCUGCCAUUUCUGUGGUGGCCCCUGUGUUUUUAGAGGAACCUCCACAUGCCUUUAAUCCCAACACUUGGGAGGCAGAGGCAGAGGCAGAGGCAGAGGCAGAGGCAGAGGCAGAGGCAGAGGCAGAGGCAGAGGCAGAGGCAGAGGCAGAGGCAGAGGCAGAGGCAGGCAGAUUUCUGAGUUCAAGGCCAGCCUUGGUCUACAGAGUGAGUUCCAGGACAGCCAGGGCUACACAGAGAAACACUGUCUCGAAAAACCAAAAAAAAAAAAAAAAAAAAAAAAAUAAUAAUAGUAAGAGGAGCCUUCUAAAAAGCCACCUGCAAGAAGAGGAAGUAAGGGGGUGGGGAGAGAAGAGAAGGGGAGGGAAGGGGUUCAUCUCAAGUGUAGGAAGCUCCGCAGCCAGGUUGCCUGCAGUCUGUUGCAGGUCUGUGUAGGUCUGUGUAGGUCUGCAGUCCGUCCUAACCGCACUAAUGUCUGUGCUUAGAGAAGAAGCACAAAACUCUUGGCCCUGGCCCCACUUCUGCCCUCAAGGACAGGACCCCUGGCUCUUGUGGCUGUCGUCUUGUGUUCACGACAGCUGCUGUCUAAUUUGCCAGGAGGUUUUUAUGAGAAGUUCUUAAAGGAAAUGUCAUUUCUGUUAACUUCAAUGGAGUUGGCUUUGGCUGUGAGCAGUCGGAGCUCUGACUUAUAUGUGCACUUGGGCCCAGACUGGCAUUAAGUGGAUGAGCAGAGACUUAAAGGUACAUAUGUACCACCCUCAUGCUGGCACGAAACACAGUGGCAUGCUUUAUGAGUGUGUGUGUGUGCGUGUGUGUGUGUGUGUGUGUGUGUGUGUGUGUGUGCACACGCACAUGUGCUCAUGCUUAAGCUUAGAGAAAGGACUAGGUCAGUAGGCUGCAGGGAAUUGUGGGAGAACUAGCAAUUUUUAUGACAUCCUCUUUUGUCUUGACAUGUCUAGAAACAGGUGGAUUUAUAAGAACACAGAGGGCUUAUACUAAUUUUAUAAAAGUGAAGGGCUUUACAUCUAAGAUACACUCAAUUUGUUUACUUGCGUGUGCGUUUGCUUGCUUGUUAUUUGUGGUGCUGCAGGUUGAGCCCAGGUUCUUGAACUUGCUGUGUAAGUAUACCAUUUCUUCACUAGGCUCCAAGCCUGUAUGGUUGAAUUUUACCUACUUCGGAAGUAGCUGAUUUCAGCCUCACACAGACUCGGACCUCUAAUAAAUUCAGGCUUAUUCAUGUU
Molecule: long non-coding RNA, 10010 nt
Organism: Mus musculus (house mouse)
Lineage: Eukaryota; Metazoa; Chordata; Mammalia; Rodentia; Muridae
Product: predicted gene, 46583
Exons: 2
Source: RefSeq, a predicted model, not a curated record